This 17968-nucleotide long non-coding RNA is filed under the name Nicotiana tabacum (common tobacco). RNAcentral describes it as "long non-coding RNA (NTAB_LNC002816)". The record is from RNAcentral. Lineage: Eukaryota; Viridiplantae; Streptophyta; Magnoliopsida; Solanales; Solanaceae.
UUAUCCAGCACAAAACGCCCCAACUAGCCCAGCCAACCGGUUCGACCCGCCCCACUUUCCCCAAAUAUAAGAUACAUAUUAUAAACAAAGACCCAACCCUAAUUUUUGCUCCCAAAUGGUGCCCAGCAUUGUUCAUCACCUCCUUUACCCCCAAUCGAUCCCAACUCUCCUGAAACUCAGGAGAAUUCACUCACACACGGGCCCCAUCUCACCACGUCACCAAGAUUCUAACUGCUUCUGACAAAUUUCCUCUCCUAUGUGCUAGACGCGUUUGGGAAUUUCUGAAGGAUGAAUUCCAUAAAAUGGGAGUCGUGGAUUGAUUUUGGGAUCAAUCAUUUCCUUCCACCUGUCCGGAUUCGUUCUAAAAAGGAUUUUUUUCGGAGUUCUUGAAGAAAAGAAGAGAAACUUCGAGAGAGGGGUAUAUAUACCUAGGUCUGGUUUCAAGUUGAGGGGGUGGGAUUUUUUAAGGCAGAGGUCAUUUGAGAAAAUUAGGGUUCUAGACAAAGUUUCUCUUCUUCUCUUUUGUUCAUCUGCAUUUUUCUUUGUUUAAUUCCACUCACAAUGCAAAAAAUACAAAAAACAAUUGUUUCAUUUAGUUUGAUAUUAGCAUCUUUGUUCUCUUCAUCUUUAAAUUCAGAAAUUUCACGUUUAUUAUGGGUUUGGACUGAGUUCGAGAGCCGAGGUUUGUUCGAAGGUCAUGAUUUGCGAUUCCGAGAUUAAUUUGUUGUUUUUGUACGUAUCAAUUUUUAGCAGAUUGAAGAAAGAUCAUUACAGGUUCGUUUCUUUCCUUCGCUACUUUUCUGGUGUGCAAAAUAUGAUGAAAGCUUAUAAAUAAAUGUUUGAGUUUGAGAUUUAAUAGACGCAUUUAUUUUCGAGUCUCGAAUGGUGUCGACUCUGGAUUUUGAUCGAGCUCUGUUUCAUCUUUGUGCUUAAAGCAUUUUUUGAGUUUGGAUUUACUUAUUUUGAAUGUGUUCAAUUAAAUUCCAGCUUGAUUUUUGAUUCCAUAAGUCUCUUAGAGUAAUCUUAGUGUCAUUUUUAGGCUUAAACUUACUCAAAACAUGCUUACUUCAAGUUUGAGGUCAUUGUAUGAAGGUUCAGUGAUUACUCGUUAUGGUCUCAUGAACAUCUCUGUGUGUUUGGUUAAAUUUGAGCUUUAAAAAUGAAAUCGGAAAUCAUCUUUUGAGUUCCUUGUUUAUUUCUAUAUGAACUAGCAUCGAGUCUUAUCUUCGAGUAUAUAUUAGUGUCAAGUUGUUCUUUACCUCACAUGUUCAGGAACAAGUUUUUGGGGAAUCCUUUUCUUGUUGGGGUUUGAAUUUGAAAUGAGUGCUGAAAUCAUCUUUGGUUCUUCUUUGAAAUGCUGGGAAUUUGAAAUCAUCCGAGGUUUGAAUUUGAAAUGCUGGGAAUCCUUUCUUUCUUCUUUUUUCUUCUAUUUUGUUUUUUCUGUUAAGAUAUGCUAGUAAUUUAACUAAAAAUUAGUUUGAAUUCGUGUCAGUUUCAUGCUAGGUCUGUUCAUUUCUUAAUGAUUCGAGUCUGAAACUAUCCUAAUUCAUCUAUCGAUUAAAAUCUAUUUGUGCUUAUUUGACAUGGUUUGAAUUGUUUGUGACUUUCAUCCUUAAGGAUUUCAAAAGGAUAAGCUAAGGUGUUCCAGUAGUCUAUCCUCCUUCAUUUAAUUAGUCUUUUAAAGUCAGUUGUUGGCAAGACAUAACUAGUAUUUGGAAACUAGAUCAUGUUCAUGUUUGAGUCCCUGCGGGUUAGGUUCAUGUUUUGAUUUCCAAACUUCUGUUAAUUGUCAUGUUUAGAAUUAACUGUUGCUAGAAUUAUUUGGAAGAUCGAUGUUGUAGUUGAAUGGAAAAUGAGUAUCUGUUGUUGGAUUGAGUUGGUUGAAGUUAAGUCAUAAUUGGUCUGAUUGCCUAAGUCUACUGGUGUUUCGAUCCUCUCUGUCAUACCCUUGCACUAAUUUAUACCAGUUUUUAUCUACAAAUGAAAGAUAAUUUUAAGAAGUCAUGUACUUGAUGCAUAUUUGAUCUUUCCAGUUGUGUGGUCGAAUUUAAGUGCCAAUUGAAUUCUAAAAUUGUUCUUUAGUAUUCAUUGAUUGUUGUCAAUCUGUUCGGUUCGUUUUGGCAGUUAGAAUUGUUACAAUCCCUUGUUAAGCUUUAAUUGGCUCGUACUUUAAAAUAGUUAGUCAAGCAAACCAUAUAUUCUGGCUAGUUUGUCUCAAAAAAUUAUUUGGUAUUCUUGGGUAAUGCUAGGGUUGCCGAGAAACUUGCCUCAUUAAAUUGGAAUGCACAUGAACUUGGUUUAAUUUUGAAAUCUUUCUCAAUUUGGAGAAUGUGUCUUUGCUAAGAAUAACUUUGUGUUGAUUGAUUCAAUGACUUGUUAUAAGGAUUGACUCAUUUCUUCAUAUUUCCAUCUUAAUUGAGUUUGGUACAGAGGCAUACGGUUGAACAUAUGGUUCCAUUAUUAUAGUUUCAUUCAUUUGCUUAAUCUGUUAGCGCUAAAGAAACUACAGAUUGUGCUCUUUUUUUGUUGGCAUGCUUGUGAUUUAAAAUGUUGGGUGUGGUGUUUAGUGUAAAAUGAUUGUUUAGUUUGUUGAUUCAGUUAAUUCUUGGCAGCAGAAUGUAGGACGCUUGAGGAAAAGAACCAAAUCUGAGGCUGAUUACAUAAUAUGUCCUUAAAUAUAGAAACAGGUUGAGAUUUUUUGACUGUCUGAAACUUUCGCAAUCAACUUGUGAUGAAUGAAUGGUGAAAAAUAAACUAUCGUGGUUGUGUACACGUUCGCGUGACAUAAUUACGAUCUUAAAAAUAAAAUCGGAGUAUGCGUUCAUGCAACUUCAACCGAAAUUUCUUAAUAAUAACAUAACGUUAUUAAUUGUGGACACGUUCGCGUGACUUGAUUUUUGAUGCGCCAAACAAAUGGGUACACGUACGCGUGACUCGUUUUUUUAGGAUAAUUUCUUAAUGAAAAGAGGUGAAAGCACAUAGGUUCUAAAAAGGGUAAUUAGACAAUUUGAUUAAGCCAAGUAUGAUCAAAGCGACCGUGCUAGAACUAAGAAGCCCAAAAAUGCCUAACACCUUCUCUCGGGUUAACAUAAUUACUUACACGGAUUUCUGUGUUCGCGGACCAUAAAUAAGAGUCAACUUCCUCGAUUCGGAAUUUUAUAUCGGUGACUUAGGACACCAUAAAUUAUCCCAAGUGGUGACUCGGGACACCAUAAAUUAUCCCAAGUGGUGACUCGGGACACCAUAAAUUAUCCCAAGUGGUGACUCUGAUUUUAAUAUAAAUAAUCCCGUUUUGAUUUUCACUUAAAUUGGAAAAAACUCCAUUAUACCCCUUUUCGGGGGUAGUAAAAAGGAGGUGUGACAGCUCUAGCAACUCCGGUGGGGAUAAGAACCCAGAAUCUCUGGUUCGGGGUUCAAUAAUUCGAGAUUUUUAAUAUGAUUUUAUUUGGAUUUAUUUAUAGUUAAUAUUACUGUAUUUUGUGAACAUUUUGUGCUAAUUGUUGUCUAUUUACCGUUUUGAUAUUAUUUGAAUUAUAUAUAACUGUCUUCUUACGCCACCCCUCCGAGUCUUCUGAAAAUGGUGAACACAUUCGCAUUGCCCACUUUUUCUAUAGAAAUUAUACCAAAUAGAACGAGGUUGGGCCAUCAACAAGGCCGGGUAGACUUUAGUGCUCCCGGUAUGUUGUCCCCUCUUCUGCUCGAGUUGUCCGCUCGGGUAAGCCAGGUCAAGAACACAACCCUAGGUUUAAACUUAGAAUAACACAGCCUCAUGUCGGAUCCCUAGUAGGAACGUUUGUUUGCAUCACGUGCAUUUGAUUUUGGGGACUCAACACAGGGAUUGGGCCCAUCUAGGACAGGUGUACACAAAAUAACAGACCAUCCUGAUGCAUCCUACGUGCUAUGUGAACAUUUAUUUGUUUUGGCUUGCAUGUUGACCGGCUAGGAAAAGUGAAUCAAGAGAAAAACCAAGAACGAUAUAGGAAAAAAUAAUGCCCGGCUCUAAAAAUCCCCGGUAAUUGGAAAUAUCCUGAAACUCUGCCAAAAUUUUCAAAAAAAGAGUCAAGGAAAAAGAGUCUUUUCAAAAUGAGUCAAUAAUAUGUCUCUUUCAAAUAUGUCAAAAUUGAUCGAACUACGCAGGUCUGAUUCUCACCGGAUGUGGGAUACAUAGGCAACCUACAUAAGGUUCAGCCUUACUUUUCAAAAAAGAAAAGAAAAAGAAGAAGAAGAGUAAAUAGUCAAAUAGAUGUAGUUUGGGUUCUGGUCAAAAGAGUAAGCCGACCCAGCUUCGGUUAUGUCUUAAGUCGUUCUUGUUGGGAUAGCCUUAGAGUAUCUUUCAGUUGUCGAAUAGCUAUUUUUCGUAAAGAACAGAUAAGUCUGUCGGUAAAGUGUCAUUUUUCCAUAAAGUACUUUUCCCCGUCCUCAAAAUUUAUUUGGAAUUGUGAAGGGGCCACGUUUGCAAAAAACGAUCACUUUUGCUAAAAGUAGCAUAGAGGGGAGGGGGUCAUGGUCCGUUGAUUUUUCUUUUAGAAAUUGAAAAACCUGUAUUACAAAAAGUCCACCAGAGUCAAACCUAACCUUAACCUUCCACAGGUACAAAUGAACAUUGUCCAAAAUUCGUCAGAGUUGGUCAUAGACCAGGCUCAGCUGCAGCUGCAUAUGUGGUGGAAUGAUCUAGAUGAAUAUGGUCGGGAUUGGGUAAAAGAGCAGUUGGGUGCCCUUAUAGACAUUCUGGAAGUCGAACCACGGAAAGAUCUAAUCAAGGCUUUGGUAACUUUUUGGGACCCCGUCCACAAUGUUUUUCGUUUCUUGGAUUUUGAGAUCACCUCUACUCUGGAGGAAAUGGCCGGGUAUAUUGAGUUUGGUCGGAACUUGAGGAAACAACAACUUAUAUUCCCAAGGGCUCCUUCUGUGCACAAGUUCUUUGACCUUCUGAAUAUCAGUAAGCAAAUGAAGAAGGCCCAUGUAAACAAAGGAUGUUGUUCUUUCUACUUCUUCUACUUCAGGUUUGGGUACUCAGUUGGGUUCGAAACGCAUGAAAAGGUUUUGAACAACAAACAAGAUAAGGGCAUCUGGCAAAUUCAUCGUCGGUUCGCUUUCAUUGUGGCGUUUUGGGGAUUAUGGUCUUUCUAAAUGUAAAAGGGACAACAGAUAUCCGUAUGGCCAUAAUUGCACAAAUCCUCACUACUAAGAAAGAUCAUACACUUGCUCUAUUAGUGCUAGCAGAUAUUUAUCGAGCAUUGACAUUAUGCAAGGUCGGGGCUCAAUUGUUUGAAGGUUGCAAUAUUAUUCUACAAAUAUGGUUGAUCGAGCAUCUCCGCCAUCACUCCAAAUUCAUGAGCUAUGGUUCAAGCACAGAUAAUUUCAUCAAGAGCUACGAGGAAAGGGUGAAAGACUACAAUGCUCCAGAAGGGUUUGAAGCCUAGGUCUCCCACUUGAAGGCUCUAAAAGCAAGUCAGGUCGAGUGGACUAUAGGAUGGCUCCCGAUGACAGAAGCCAUACACAUGACGGCUACCAAGGGUUAACUAACGUUGAUGGUUUAAGGUGUGUCCAGCCAUAUGCACCGCAGAGGGUCUUAAGGCAGUUAGGAAGAUAUUAGGUGGUGCUCGAAGAUGAAGAUCUAACCACCCAGGUCAUUGAGCUACACCCAGAAGCUACAUUGCCCAAGACUUUAGUUCAACAGGAUUGGAAUGGUUGCCGGUAUCUGAAAAAUAGCACCUAGGUACCAGAUGUCGCAAAGGGGGAAGUGGAUCCAUAUUACACUGCAUGGUUUGAGAAAAGGUCUUGAGCAAGAGCCCGAGCCUAAGCCCGAAAGACCUGCCAAGAGACCUCAUGUUCAAGCUUUUGAUGAUAAAGUCCAAUAAAGGUUGGCCUGGGGAUAAAAGGAGAAAAAAUAUCAAGCCACCAUUCACACCUUGGAAGAGAAAUUGAGAAACAUGGAAUUCAAUAAUGAUCUCCAGGCACAAGAAGCGGAAGGUGAAAGGAGGAGGUUGGCCAAAGAAAACAAAGCCCUUCGAGCCCAAAUCUGAAAAAUGAAAAUAGCAGCUGAGAACCCUGUCAGGAAUGAAAAGGAUAAGAAACUUAUAGAAAAGUUCAGGCUGAAAGCAGGUGGUUACGGUUUUGAGUUAGAGAAAACUGAAGCUGAACUAGCAAAGGCCCGAGCCAAGUUAGCUAAGAAUGCGGAGGGACGGGCAAGUUACAUUCGACAACUGAUGGAGAAGUACGACAAAGGAAUGGUGGGUCUAAAGAAAAGGUCAAUGUCCUUGAGAACGAAAUGACUAAGCAGGCAAAAGACUUCAAAGCAAAAAGGGAGCACUGCUAUGCCCUGAUGUCGCAAUUAGAAAAAGACCUGCAGUAGCUUCAAGAGCAAAAUCAUACAGCCGAACAAGUUUUGGGGGCAAGAUCACAGCAGAUCGGAUGGUUGCUACAAGAGAAGGGUAUUGUUAGGGAGAGGGUUAGGAGGAUUGCAGACUACAUUGUGAUGAAGUGUAAUGAAUGCGAGGACAUGACCAGGUCCAUGUUCUUCGCUUCAGUUAUGAUUUUUGUCCGGCAGAUCAUGGAUGACCUAUUUUGCCUCCAAGAAGAUAUGGCGCAUAAGCCUACAGCGAGACCGACUGAUGUCCCGCUAGCCCCUAGAGCAGCAGUUGAGGCUCUCAUGUAUUUCUGAUUUUAUUGUUCGAGUCUAUAUUUUUAGUUUCUUUUUGAGUUCGUUAGUCCACUUUCGAGUCUUUAUUUUCAUCUUUCUUUUGGAGUAUGUUAAUCCACCUUUCGAGUCUAUUAGUUUUUAUGUUUAAUUCUGUAGGAAAGUCAUUGUAAUCAGGAUGUUUUUGUUUUUAUUUUAUUUUAUGAAAAUUUGAAUACACCAAAAAAUGUAUCUUUCUUUUAUUUUGCAUUUAUUCCCUGAACUACGUAAUGAUCUGAUUCAUGUGGCAUCAUGAUAUGUAGGCAAUCCCCAUAGGAUUCGAUCAUAACCAUAAAAUUAAAAGAAAAAAAGGAGAGAAAAUAAAAGGAAAUUGAGGGAAAAGAAAUAAUGGCAAAACAAAAGAGAAAAGCGAGCGCAAAAUAAAAGGAAAGUAACAAAAACAAGUGGGAAAGGCCAAUAGUGAUUAAAGAGGGAUUGGAGUAAAAAAAGAAGAGAAAGUGUAAAAUGAGAAGAGUUAGUUAAAAGUCGGGAUGAAGCAUGCAGCCGUUCAAAUACACGAUAAAAGCUUUAACUGUUUAGGUGCAUUGCAUCCCAAAUGUGUGGUUGCCUAUGUGUUAAAUCUUAAACACUAACAAGUUGUUGUUGUCAUUGAGGACAGGAAGGUGGUUAGUUUGUUUGGCAUUCUGGCAACUCAUCCGUAAAAUACCAAGUCUAAAAACAAGUUGAUCAUGGCUGGACAGGAACUGGACACAAGUAUUAUUGAUCCACCAAGAGAGGUGGAGGAGUCUGAGGUUGGUUUAAAAGAGGAGUUACAUAAGUUGAAACACCAGAUGGCCAAAAUGUACCAGACAUGGAUGAAAGGGCAUCCACUAUCAUCAUACCCCACCAACCCUGCUUUUAUCCCGUCACUAGCUCAAUCUCAAGAACAUCCCAGUGUUGAUUCAUCCCCACAACAUGCACCAAGCUUCACCCCUUACCACCACUAUCAUGUCACCACUUCCCAAACCAUACAAGCUCCACCGGCCAAAACAACCCCAUACCCCCUCCAUUAGCUACCCCUAUUUUUGUAGCACCUCCACCAGCUACACUCCAUCGAUCUUCCAAUGAGCCAUUAUUCCAGACCCAAGAUAAUUAGUACUAUCCCCCAAAUCCUACUUUAAAGGCCCCAGAUCAUUACUCCUACACUCCUCGUUUCGACCUCCCUGUUGAGACUGAGAAACCACCUAAAAACCCGAAAUAGGAGGAGAUGUUUAGAAAGGUGAGAAGCCUGGAAUAAUCGCUCAGAAACAUGCAAGGGUUGGGAGGUCAAGUAAGUGUAGCCUACAAAGAUCUGUGUUUGUUCCCUGACGUACAACUACAUGUUGGGUUCAAAAUGCCCAAAUUUGACUUGUAUGACGGGCACGGAGAUCUCGUGGCCCACUUAAGGGGAUUCUGCAGUAAAAUGAGAGGAGCCGGUGGGAAAGAUGAGUUGUUAAUGGCAUACUUUAGCCAGAGUCUGAGUGGCGCGGUAUUGGAGAGGUACACUCGUCAGGAUCACAACAGAUGGUAUACCUAGGAUGAUUUGGCCCAACCAUUCGCUCGUCAUUUCCAAUACAACAUCGAGAUUGUUCCAGAUCAUUUGUCUUUGACUAAGAUUGAGAGGAAGCCUAUUGAAAGUUUCAGGUAAUAUGGUUUCCGCUGGAGAGAACAGGCAGUAAGGGUUAACCCUCCAAUGGAGGAGAACGAAAUGGUGGAAUACUUUCUUCAGGCCUUGGAGCCUACUUACUUUGGUCAUCUGAUCUGGGUCAUAGGUAAGUAUUUCAGUGAAGUAGUAAAAAUGGGAGGAAUGGUAGAGGAAGGGCUCAAAUCAAGCAAGAUCAUGAGCUACUCUGCCAUCAAAGCAACUACACAGGCAAUCCAAAAUGGCACCAGAGGCAUUCUUGGGAAAAAGAAGAAAGAGGAUGUCGCUAUGGUCGUUUCAGGAUCAUGGCACAGCCCGGGGGAUUCUCCUACCCACUACACCCAACCUCGACCCCAGCUUCAAACCUAUACCCCAACUCCAUAUAAUCCAUCCCAACACUACUUCCCUUCACCAGAGCCUCAGUACUCAGUCAGGCCACCCCAAUAUCAUGUCCAUCAUGCACAGUCAUAUACUCAACCCCUUCCUCACCCGCAAUGACGUGCUCUAGCUCCAUGAAACCCUUAACCACCUCCACAAACAUACCAAAACCCUACUGGUCCAAAUUUUUGGGCCAAGCCGGAAUGAAAGGUUGCAGCGAAAGAAAACUUUCACCCCGCUUGGGGAAUCUUAUACCAACCUAUUUCAAAGGUUGAGGCAGUUGGAUAUUCUGAGGUCAAUUGAGUCAAAACUACCAAACCCCCUCCUAAGAACCUGGAUUAUUCUCUCAGAUAUGCGUAUUGUUCUGAUACUCCGGGACAUAACACAGAAAAGUGUUGGCAUUUGAAGAACGCUAUCCAAGAGCUCAUUGAUACGAACCAGAUUGUGGUCUAGAGCCCAAAAGCACCCAACAUCAAUCAGAACCCAUUACCAGCAUAUGCUGAAAUGCACAUAAUUGAGAUAGUGCACAAAUAUGGGAAGCCCAAAAAGCCUUCACAAUCUGUCAUGAUGAUCCGGUCUAGUGUAAGUAAGUUAGUCAAGGACCCGGUUGUCAUGAAAGCAACCUCUUCAAUAGCUGAAGGAUCGGCAGACAAGUUGAGCAUGCCAAAUGAUAAGCCAACUGUGGUAGUUGAAAAGAGGUCCCCAAGUGAUGUUGUAGAGAAGAAAGAAAAGCCAAAGGUGAUCGUGCCAGAGGUAGCAAGUAAGCCGGUCAUAAUUGUGGAGGGUGCUCGCACGGACCCUAUCAUUAUCAAACUUGUGACCCAGCUACCGAUAGCUAACACCAAGACUAUUCCAUAGAACUAUGAGCGAGUGAUAGUGACCUAUAAGGGGAAGGAAGUGAAAGAGGAAGUUAACGAGGACCAGGAAUUAACUUGUUCGGGGAGAUGCUUUUCCCUGGAAGAGUUAAGGAAAGCUAAAACACACAGAGACAAUCCAAUUCUAGUGAAGAAUCUGGUCACUAAAGAAGAAGCGGAGGAGUUUUUGAGAAAAAUAAAGGUACAAGAUUACUCCAUCGUGGAACAGUUGAGAAAGACUCCUGCUCAAAUUUCCCUGUUAUCAUUGUUGAUCCAUUCAAAUGAGCACCGCCGGGCCCUAAUGAAGAUUCUGAACGAAGCUCAUGUCCCCGACAAAAUCACAAUGAACCAUUUGGAGAAGAUUGCCAAUAAUAUAUUUGAGUCUAACAAGAUCACAUUCUCGGAUGAUGAUUUGCCUCUGAAAGGUACAGAACACAAUCGGGCCCUCUAUCUCACAGUGAAACGCGAAGAUUUUAUGGUCAUAAGUGUGUUAGUUGACAAUGGUUCCAGCAAAAACAUCUGCCUUCUCUCUACACUGAACAAGUUAAAAGUUGAUGAUAAGAGGAUUCACAAGAACAACAUAUGUGUUCGAGGUUUUGAGGGGGGGAAGACUCUGUUGGCGACAUCAUGCUCUAGUUGACAAUAGGACCAAUCGAAUUCACUAUGGAGUUCCAGGUACUGGAUGUGGUUGUUUCUUACAAUUUCCUGUUGGGAAGGCCUUGGAUACAUGUUGCCAAGGCGGUUCUGUCUUCGUUACACCAGAUGGUAAAGUUCAAAUAGGAUAGACAAGAAAUCUUCGUGCAUGGUGAUGAAAACUUAUGUGCUUUCAAUGAUACAUCCAUCCCGUUUAUUGAAGCUGAAGAAGAUAAGGGGUCGUGGGUCUAUCAAGUUUCCGAAACAGUAUCGGUUGAAAAGAUUCCGGAAGGGGAAUACAUUCCAAGUCCAAGGCUAGCUUCUGCAAUUAUCAUAGUAGCAACUGAAAUGUUGAAAAGUGGUUUUGUGCUGGGCAAGGGUCUGGGUAUAACUCUGCAAAGUAUCGUGCAGCCAGUGUCUUUGCGUGAAAAUCUGGGUACAUUUGGUCAGGGGUUCAAAACUAUAGGGGAUGAUAUGAAGGAGUCUAGAAAGCUAAAAAAGAAGGCAUGGUCGCUCCCUAAGCCAGUCCUACGUCUCUCCAGGUUUUUCAUCAAGGCACAGGUCGUGAAACGUCCAGUGACAACAGUUCCAAAGCCUGUGGUUGAUUUUGAUAAGGAAUUGGUUAAAAGGUUCCAGAGUCUGUUUGAUAAGGUAAACAUGGUAGAAACUGGGGAAGGUUCUGGAAAAGCGGAUAUGCAGUUUAUUAGGUCAAAAGUAAAGCUUAACAAUUGGGAUGACACUCAUCUCCCUUCCCAGAAGGAGUUUUGGUAGUUUGCUUUAUUUUCCUUUCAGUUAUCUGGAUUAUUCCAGGAUUGUAAUUCAAAUUUUUAUUUUUCGUCUGUUUAAUGUACAAACCCUUCUAUCCUUUAUUUUUAAUGAAAUGCAAUUUCCCUUUUCCAUUACUCCUGAGAGUGUCAUUUUCUUUUCUUUCUUUGUACAGUUCUUUUUAUGCUGGUUUCAAUGACAUGACAUGCAUGAGGAAUCUUCAGCCAAGUCUUAAAAGUCAAUCUAACUCUGAAAUAAUAAUCCAAGAAAUAGAGUGUGAUGAUGAAAUAGAAUAUGAUGAAGAGGAAGCAUUUGAGGAAAUUAGUAAAGAGCUAAGUCACUUUGAAGAGAAACCCAAGCGUAAUUUGAAUGAAACUGAAGCAAUCAAUUUAGGGGAUCCAGAUAACAUCAAGGAAACCAAGAUAAGUGUACACUUAGAACCACAAAUCAGGGAGGAAAUAAUCAAAGCCCUGUUUGAAUAUAAAGACAUUUUUGUGUGGUCAUAUGACGACAUGCCAGGUCUAAGUACUAACUUGGUGGUUCAUAAACUGUCCACUGACCCGACAUUCCCUCCCGUCAAGCAAAAGUUAAGGAAGUUCAAAACUGAUAUGAGUGUGAAGAUCAAGGAAGAAAUCACAAAGCAGUUGGACGUAAAGGUCAUUUGAGUCACGUGAUACCCCACUUGGUUAGCUAAUGUUAUGCCAGUGCGAAAGAAGGACGGCAAGACCAGGGAGUGCGUUGAUUACCGAGAUCUCAACAAAGCAAAUCCAAAGGAUAUUUUUCCAUUGCCAAAUAUCCACAUUCUGAUUGACAACUGUUCCAAGUAUGAGAUUGGGUCUUUUGUGGAUUGCUAUGCGGGAUACCACCAGAUCUUGAUGGUGAGGAGGAUGCAGAAAAGACAACAUUCAUCACACCAUGGGGAACUUAUUGCUACCAGGUAAUGCCAUUUGGUUUGAAAAACAUUGGGGCAACUUACAUGAGGGCAAUGACUACUAUGUUCCAUGACAUGAUACACAAGGAGAUUGAAGUUUAUGUGGAUGAUGUGAUCGUAAAGUCAAAGCAACAGGCCGACCAUGUCAAAGAUUUGAGGAAGUUUUUCCAAAGAUGCCGCAUGUAAAAUCUUAAGCUUAACCCUGUCAAGUGUGCAUUUGGUGUUCCGUCUAGAAAAUUGUUGGGAUUCAUAGUUAGUCAUUGAGGCAUUGAGUUGGACUCGUCGAAGAUCAAAGCUAUCCAAGAAUUGCCACCUCCAAGGAGCAAGACUGAGGUAAUGAGUCUGCUCGGGCGUUUAAACUACGUCAGCAGGUUUAUUGCUCAACUCACAACAACUUGUGAGCCCAUCUUUAUGUUGUUGAAGAAGAAUGAUGCGGUACAAUGGACUGAUGAGUUCCAGGAGACAUUUGAUAAGAUAAAGGGGUACUUGUCAAGCCCACACAUGUUGGUCCCACCGAAACCCGGGAUACCUUUGAUUCUCUAUUUGACGGUCUUGGACAAUUUAUUUCGGUUGUGUGUUGGGUCAACAUGACAUCACUGGAAGGAAGGAGCAAACCUUCUAUUAUCUCAGAAAGAAGUUCACAUCCUAUGAGGUUAAGUACACUCCCCUUGAAAGGACGUGUUUCGCCCGGACUUAGGUGACACAAAAGUUGAAGCAUUAUUUGUCAUCCUACACUACUUACCUCAUUUCUCAUCUAGAUCCUCUAAAGUAUAUCUUUCAGAAACCUAUGCCCACAGGAAGACUUGCAAAGUGGCAAAUUUUGCUCACAGAGUUUGACAUUAUCUAUGUAACUCGAACCACGAUGAAAGCCCAAGCAUUGACCGAUCAUUUGGCUGAGAAUCCGGUGGAUGAAGAGUAUGAGCCAUUGAGGACUUAUUUUCCUGAUGAAGAGGUGAUGCAUAUUGAUGAGGUGGAACAGGAUGACAAGCUAGGUUGGAAACUUUUCUUUGAUUGCGCCGCUAACAUGAAGGGUGUCGAAAUAAGGGUUGUGCUCAUUUAUGAAACAGGGCAUCACUACCCUGUUACAGCCCAGCUUCGUUUCUAUUGUACCAACAACAUGGCUGAGUACGAGCCAUAUAUUUUGGGAUUGAGGUUAGCGGUAGAUAUGGGAGUCCAGGAAGUCUUGUUAUUGGGAGACUCCGAUCUUUUGGUGCACCAGAUUCAAGGAGAAUGGGAGACUCGGGAUUUAAAGCUCAUACCGUAUCGACAAUGUUUGCAUGAUCUUUUCCAACAGUUUCAAUCGAUAGAAUUCAGGCAUAUUCCAAGGAUCCAUAAUGAGGUUGACGAUGCUUUGGCUACCUUGGAAUCAAUGUUGCACCAUCCGGACAAAGCUUAUGUUGACCCUCUACAUAUUCAAGUUGGUGAUCAGCAUGCCUAUUGUAAUGUGGUUGAGGAAGAACUUGAUGGUGAACCGUGGUUCCAUGAUAUCAGGGAAUACAUCAGGAUAAGGGUAUAUUCGGUACAAGCCAUAGGUGAUCAAAAGAGAACAAUUCGAUAUUUGGCUAGUGGAUUUUUCUUGAGCGUGGGGAUCUUAUACAAGAGGACUCCAGAUCUUGGGUUGUUGAGAUACAUAGAUGCUAAACAAGCCACGACUAUCAUGACAGAAGUGCAUUCCAGGGUUUGCGGGCCACAUAUGAGUGGGUAUGUUCUGGCAAAGAAAAUUCUUCGAGCAGACUAUUACUGGCUCACCAUGGAACGGGAUUGCAUCAGUUUUGUGUGCAAGUGUCAUCAGUGCCAGGCACAUGGAGAUUUGAUUCAUUCUCCGCCAUCUGAGUAGCAUACAAUGUCCGGAACGUGGCCCUUUGUUGAUUGGGGCAUGGAUGUCAUUGGACCAAUUGAGCAUGAGGCAUCAAACGGGCACAGGUUCAUUUUGGUGGCCAUCGAUUAUUUCACUAAGUGGGUUGAAGCUAAGACUUUCAAAUCUGUGACCAAGAAGGCAGUGGUCGAUUUUGUUCAUUCAAAUAUCAUUUGUCGAUUCGGAAUCCUAAAGGUAAUCAUCACAGAUAAUGGUGCUAAGCUUAGCAGUCAUCUGAUGAAAGAAGUAUGCCAGCAAUUUAAGAUCAUCCAGCGAAAUUCCACUCCAUAUCGCUCCAAGGCAUAUAGAGUUGUUGAGGCGGCCAACAAGAACAUAAAGAAGAUACUUCGGAAAAUGGUGCAAGGUUCCAGGCAAUGGCAUGAAAAGUUGCCCUUUGCUUUGCUGGGUUAUCGCACUAUUGUUCGCACUUUAGUAGGUGCAACUCCUUAUUUGUUGGUAUAUGGUACUGAAGCAGUGAUACCCACGAAAGUAGAAAUUCCAUCUCUUCGGAUUGUUGCUGAAGCCGAAAUUGAUGAUGAUGAGUGGGUCAAAACCCGUUUGGAGUAAUUAAGUCUGAUUGACGAGAAAAGACUGGCGGCAGUGUGUCAUGGCCAGUUGUAUCAAAAGAUAAUGGCAAUAACAUACAAUAAGAAGGUGUGUCACCGAAAAUUUUAAGUGGGUUAGCAAGUAUAGAAACACAUCCUUCCACAUCAGGCUGAAGCGAAAGGCAAGUUCGNNNNNNNNNNNNNNNNAGAGAAGAAAAAAAAAGAAAGAAAAGAAUGGAAAAAAGUAUAAAAAAGAAAAGAAAAAAGAAAAGAAAAAAAGAGAGAAAGAAAAAGAAAAAGAGAAAAGUAACAACAACAAAGUAAUUCCUAUGUCAUGAACUACGUUCGACCUGAUUCCUUUUAAGGAUACGUAGGCAGCCUCACGGUUCGAUCCCAUCAAAAUAAAAAUUCAAAAGCCCCCAAGCAAAAAACUGGGGCAGAAGUUGCGGUUUUAUAAAAGAUCUGAUUCCAAAAGUUGUAAUUUUGAACCCAUUGAAGUGGUUUUGAGCCUUUAUGAUAUCCUUUCUUUCUAACCAUAUCCAAAAAUCUGCAUUACGGUCCAAAAAAAGACCUUCCGACCAAUAUUUAAGAGUGCCACGUCAAGCGAGAUAGAGGUAUGAUUCGCAUCAGGGGCAACACUCCGAGCUGCACAAGGAAAAUGAAUAAUGAGAGAGUCCUAUUGGUGAAAACUAUCUCGGGCACCGUAGGGCGAUAGAAAGAUGAGAGAAAUCGAAAUGAGAAAGUCUUAUCGGUAAAGACCUUCACGGGCACCGUAAGGCAACAGUGAGUUGAGAGAUGAACAAAUGAGAGAGGUUUGUUGGUGAAAACCUUCAAGGCGCCGCAAGCCGAACAAGGUUUGUGACUUUGCAAAGAGAUUGAAAUAUGGAAAUCCCGGGGCAUAAAGUAUGAUAACUGAAAGGUGAUUGGUUGAACAAGUUGGGCUGAUAAAUCCAAAAUGCAUGACAUGAUCAUUUGUGCCAGCUGCCUCACUCAGAUAAGUCUCUUUUUCUUUUCCCUCUCAAACAGUCAUCCUGUUUCGAAUUUUCUUCUUUAUUCCUAACUCUCGAAGUCAUUGCAUUUCAUUUCUUUUGGGUUUAUUUCUCUAAGGAUUUUCCAAUGUCAGACUUGUUUAAGCAAGUAAGGAAGGAUUUAAAGCUUUCUACCAACUUCCAAAUUGCACAAAGCAAAGUGCGGCCAAAACAUACCAGAAAUAGCAUGAUGCAAAAUGGAAAACAAGGUGUUACUAAAAGUUCCAUUGGUCGAGUGGUUUGUGAAUUUUGUGGAAAAUACAGAGGUUCAAAUUAGGAGAACUGAAAUAUGAAACAACAGGUUGAGUGUAGGGCACUUGAGUCAUUCAGGGCCUUGUGUUUGAGGUUCAGUCAGAAGGUCAAACAAUUCUUUGCUAGUACAUGGCAGUCAGUCAGAACAAAGCACAGCAGUGGAAAGGCCACCUUCAGCAAGAAUGCCACAAACUAACCACCACAUUUUCAAACUAAUAAAAUUUUCUUUGAUUGAAACAGGGGCAGGAAAUUUUGUUUAUUCCGGAAGAACACUCUGUGAGGAAAGCAUGUACCGGACAGGUUCAACCAUAAAUCUUCAGGACCCUCCUGGAUAACGGGGUUUAAUUUAAAAUUUUUAGGACCCUCCUAGAUAAUUGUAUUUGAUUUAAAGUUCUCAGGACCCUCCUAGAUAAUGGAACCUAGUUAAAUUUCAAAACCUUCAUAGAUAACAAGAUUUAACGUAAAUUCUACCUUUGAAAAAUAUAAUUUAGCUUUAAAGUUGUCACUCUUAAGAUGAGAUUUAAUUUGAAGUUUUCAGGGCCCUCCUGAAUAAUGGGAUUUAGCUUUUAAAUUCUUAUAGCUCUUUUGAUAACAUGAUUCGAUUAACACUCACAUAUGUGCCCAGAUACAAAACUGGGCCAGAAAAGUUUUUUUUUGUUUAUUUUGUUGUAAUCAGGCACCCACCUAGAGAACAAGGAAUACAAUUCAAGUUUUGGUAAUCAGGCUCCCACCUAGAUAACAGGGGAAUACAAUUCAAGUGUUGGUAAUCAUGCGCCCACCUGGAGAAUAAGGGAAUGCAGUUCAAGUUUUGGCAAUCAGGCGCCCACCUGGAGAACAAGGGAAUACAGUUCAAGUUUUGAUAAUCAGGCGCCCACCUAGAGAACAAGGAAAUACAGUUCAAGUUUCGGCAAUCAGGCACCCACCUGGAAAACAAGGGAACUCAUUUCAGAAUCCAAUUCGAGUUAGCAACAAUACAAGCUCUCCUUGAGAGUACGAGCCAGCAAUUCAAGAUGCACCGCAGAGCUACAAAGGAUUCAAGAUCAAGUUUUGAAGACAUAUGGAUAGGAACUUUGUAACUCAUAGCUGAUAGGCUUAGUUAGUUCUUUUAGAUGUUGAUGUAAUAACAGGACCACGGACCGGAACCUCCACGAAACGGCACCCUACUCGACUCUCCAACUCAUCCUUCCAUCAUUUUCUAGAACUACAUUGACAUGAUUGCUUUAUAGCCAACGAUAUGUAGGCAACCUCGAAAGCAAGAUUUGGUCAGAUCUUUCAAAAAUUCUUCCCAUGGAGUAUCCAAACGGGCAAAAAUCGCUCGUAUCCGCUCAUUUUAUCUUUGCCCGAAAACUCUUCUUAUUUUCGAGCAAAAAGGGGCAUCUGUGAGCAUGUGAUUUUUUCCAUAUGUAAAAUACUCCUACAAAUUAAAGAAAUAGAUUUUUCCCCAAUUGUUUGCAAUUUUCUAGGAUUUUUGUUUAUUGUUUGCAUUUGUGUGCAUGUUUACUUUUUAUUAAAAUCAUGAAAAAAUACCAAAAAUACCAUGCAUUGCAUUUAGAUUUUGUGUUCACAUUUUGGGAUUAAUUAAUUAAUUAAUUGCUUAAUUAAAAAUGAAAAUUACAAAAAAGGCUCAUUUUUACAUUUUUGCCUUUAAUUCUAGAUCAGUAGUUUUUCCCUUGUAAUUAGGAUUAAUUAAUUUUUAUAAAUCUUAUAAUUUGAUAAUUAGUUUGAUUUUACAACUUAGACCAAUUUAGGGUUUAAUUUAGGAUUUUUAUUAAUUAAAUAAACAGAAAAGAAAAAUAAAAGAAAAGGAUUAAAAAAAGAAGGAAAAGAAAGAAAACAUGGUUCUAAAUUCAAAUUGGGCUGACAUUUUAGCCCAAUUCUUACACCAAAUCCGCCCAAAUACAUCCCUUACCUAGCCCAAAACGCCUCAACCCGCCCAGCCAACCGGUUCGACCCGCCCCGCUUUCCCCAAAUAUAAGAUACAUAUUAUAAACAAAGACCCAACCCUAAAUUUUGCUCCCAAAUGGCACCCAGCACUAUUCAUCAUCUUCUUUACCCCAAAUCGGUCCCAACUCGCCUGAAACUCAGGCAAAUUCACUCACACACGGGCCCCAUCUCACCACGUCACCAAGAUUCUAACGGCUUCUGACAAAUUUCCUCUCCCAUGUGUUGGACGCGUUUGGGAAUUUCUGAUGGAUGAAUUCCGUAAAAUGGGAGUCGUGGAUUGGUUUUCGGAUCAAUCAUUUCCUUCCACCUGUCCGGAUUCGUUCUAAAAAGGAUUUUUUCGGAGUUCUUGAAGAAAAAAAGAGAAACUUCGAGAGAGGGGUAUACAUACCCAGGUCUGGUUUCAGGUUGAGGGGGUGGGAUUUUUUUAAGGCAUAGGUCAUUUGAGAAAAUUAGGAUUCUAGAAAAAGCUUCUCUUCUUCUCUU